ACCUGAGUGGCUCAGCUGGUUGAGCAUCUGACUUCAGCUCAGGUGAUGAUCUCGCAGUUUGUGAGUUUGAGCCCCACAUCAGGCU
Molecule: transfer RNA, 85 nt
Filed under: Felis catus (domestic cat)
Lineage: Eukaryota; Metazoa; Chordata; Mammalia; Carnivora; Felidae
Rfam family: tRNA
About the family: Transfer RNA (tRNA) molecules are approximately 80 nucleotides in length. Their secondary structure includes four short double-helical elements and three loops (D, anti-codon, and T loops).
Source: Rfam by way of RNAcentral